Molecule: unclassified non-coding RNA, 253 nt
Filed under: uncultured Pirellulaceae bacterium
Lineage: Bacteria; Pseudomonadati; Planctomycetota; Planctomycetia; Pirellulales; Pirellulaceae
Description: contains 16S-23S intergenic spacer region
Rfam family: Bacterial small subunit ribosomal RNA
Source: RNAcentral
GACGAACCGUGCAAACGUUGUUCGGAAUCACUGGGCUUAAAGGGUGCGUAGGCGGUGCGGAAAGUUGGGUGUGAAAUCCCUCGGCUCAACCGAGGAAUUGCGCCCAAAACUGCCGCGCUCGAGGGAGUCAGAGGUGAGUGGAACUUAGGGUGGAGCGGUGAAAUGCGUUGAUAUCCUAAGGAACACCGGUGGCGAAAGCGACUCACUGGGUCUCUUCUGACGCUGAGGCACGAAAGCUAGGGUAGCGAACGGG